RNAcentral lists this unclassified non-coding RNA (351 nucleotides) under soil metagenome. Its description in RNAcentral is "partial contains 5.8S ribosomal RNA, internal transcribed spacer 2, and large subunit ribosomal RNA". The stretch from base 1 to 120 matches the Rfam family "5.8S ribosomal RNA", at positions 35 to 154 of the family's 154-position model. The record is from RNAcentral.
GAUGAAGAACGUAGCGAAAUGCGAUAAGUAAUGUGAAUUGCAGAAUUCAGUGAAUCAUCGAAUCUUUGAACGCACAUUGCGCCCGCGAGUAUUCUCGCGGGCAUGCCUGUCCGAGCGUCAUUUCAACCCUCAGGGCCCGCCUGCUUGCAGGCGCGGCGCUGGUGUUGGGGAUCGGCUACCCUGCCGUCCCCCAAAUACAGUGGCGGUCUCGCUGCAGCCUCCCCUGCGUAGUAGCAACACUCGCAUGCGGAGCGCGGCGCGGCCACGCCGUAAAACCCCCGACUUUCUGAACGUUGACCUCGGAUCAGGUAGGAAUACCCGCUGAACUUAAGCAUAUCAAUAAGCGGAGGA